Molecule: non-coding RNA, 97 nt
Organism: Exophiala viscosa
Lineage: Eukaryota; Fungi; Ascomycota; Eurotiomycetes; Chaetothyriales; Herpotrichiellaceae
Source: the annotation of a RefSeq genome assembly
UCCCCGAUGGUGUAAUGGUAACAUACCUGGUUUUCAUUAGAAGAUCUGAGAUUCGCAUCUCUCCCAGGCGCCCCGGGUUCAAUUCCCGGUCGAGGAA